GACGAACGCUGGCGGCGUGCUUAACACAUGCAAGUGGAGCGACGAACCAGGGCUUGCCCUGGGGCAGAGCCGCGAACGGGUGAGUAACACGUGGGUAACGUGCCCCGAUGACUGGGACAACCCGAGGAAACUCGGGCUAAUACCGGAUAUGCCCCCUGACAUCUGUCAGGUGUGUAAAGGAAGCUUCGGCCUCCGCAUCGGGAUCGGCCCGCGGCGCAUUAGCUUGUUGGUGGGGUAACGGCCUACCAAGGCAACGAUGCGUAGCUGGUCUGUGAGGACGAUCAGCCACACUGGGACUGAGACACGGCCCAGACUCCUACGGGAGGCAGCAGUGGGGAAUCUUGCACAAUGCGCGAAAGCGUGAUGCAGCAACGCCGCGUGCGGGAAGACGGCCUUCGGGUUGUAAACCGCUUUCAGUUGGGACGAAGCGAAAGUGACGGUACCUGCAGAAGAAGCACCGGCCAACUACGUGCCAGCAGCCGCAGUAAUAC
RNAcentral lists this ribosomal RNA (491 nucleotides) under uncultured bacterium. RNAcentral describes it as "bacterial SSU rRNA". It matches the Rfam family "Bacterial small subunit ribosomal RNA", at positions 28 to 526 of the family's 1533-position model. The record is from RNAcentral.